This 480-nucleotide ribosomal RNA is filed under the name uncultured bacterium. RNAcentral's name for it is "bacterial SSU rRNA". It matches the Rfam family "Bacterial small subunit ribosomal RNA", at positions 214 to 711 of the family's 1533-position model. The record is from RNAcentral.
GUCGCCUGUGGAGGAGCCUGCGUUCGAUUAGCUAGUUGGUGGGGUAAAGGCCUACCAAGGCGAUGAUCGAUAGCUGGUUUGAGAGGAUGAUCAGCCACACUGGGACUGAGACACGGCCCAGACUCCUACGGGAGGCAGCAGUGGGGAAUAUUGGACAAUGGGGGCAACCCUGAUCCAGCAAUGCCGCGUGUGUGAAGAAGGUCUUCGGAUUGUAAAGCACUUUCGACGGGGACGAUGAUGACGGUACCCGUAGAAGAAGCCCCGGCUAACUUCGUGCCAGCAGCCGCGGUAAUACGAAGGGGGCUAGCGUUGCUCGGAAUGACUGGGCGUAAAGGGCGUGUAGGCGGUUUACACAGUCAGAUGUGAAAUCCCCGGGCUUAACCUGGGAGCUGCAUUUGAUACGUGUAGACUAGAGUGUGAGAGAGGGUUGUGGAAUUCCCAGUGUAGAGGUGAAAUUCGUAGAUAUUGGGAAGAACACCG